RNAcentral lists this ribosomal RNA (850 nucleotides) under uncultured bacterium. RNAcentral's name for it is "bacterial SSU rRNA". It matches the Rfam family "Bacterial small subunit ribosomal RNA", at positions 100 to 928 of the family's 1533-position model. The record is from RNAcentral.
GACGGGUGAGUAACGCGUGGGUAAUCUGCCCUUGAGAGGGGGAUAACAGUCGGAAACGACUGCUAAUACCGCAUAAUCUGGCGAGGCCUCAUGGUCAUGCCAGCAAAGGUGGCCUCUGAAUAUGCUACCACUUAAGGAUGAGCCCGCGUCUGAUUAGCUAGUAGGUGGGGUAACGGCCUACCUAGGCAACGAUCAGUAGCCGGCCUGAGAGGGUGUACGGCCACACUGGAACUGAGACACGGUCCAGACUCCUACGGGAGGCAGCAGUGGGGAAUAUUGCGCAAUGGGGGAAACCCUGACGCAGCGACGCCGCGUGAGCGACGAAGGCCUUCGGGUUGUAAAGCUCUGUUCUAAGGGACGAAUGACUCUAUCGUUAAUAAUGGUAGAGAAUGACGGUACCUUAGGAGAAAGCCCCGGCUAACUACGUGCCAGCAGCCGCGGUAACACGUAGGGGGCAAGCGUUGUCCGGAAUUACUGGGCGUAAAGAGCGUGUAGGCGGGUAUUUAAGUCAGGUGUGAAAGACCGGGGCUCAACUCCGGGGUUGCACUUGAAACUGGGUAUCUUGAGGGCAGGAGAGGAAAGCGGAAUUCCUGGUGUAGCGGUGAAAUGCGUAGAUAUCAGGAGGAACACCGGUGGCGAAGGCGGCUUUCUGGACUGACCCUGACGCUGAGACGCGAAAGCGUGGGGAGCAAACAGGAUUAGAUACCCUGGUAGUCCACGCUGUAAACGAUGGGCACUAGGUGUAGGAGGUAUCGACCCCUUCUGUGCCGCAGCUUACGCUAUAAGUGCCCCGCCUGGGGAGUACGGUCGCAAGGCGUGAAACUCAAGGAAUUGAUCGGGGCCCGCACAA